Molecule: small nucleolar RNA, 141 nt
Organism: Spea bombifrons (plains spadefoot toad)
Lineage: Eukaryota; Metazoa; Chordata; Amphibia; Anura; Pelobatidae
Product: small nucleolar RNA SNORD94
Exons: 1
Source: RefSeq, a predicted model, not a curated record
AUGGCGAUGAUGAUUGGCGCAGGGGUACGGACCUCGGCUGGAUUAUGGGAGCCGAAUGCAGAGCUGGAGAUUUCGGGAUGGUUUACGUGUGGUCGGCCGCCUGAAACCAGCCUGCAUGAAACUGUCGCCCGACUGAGCUAC